Molecule: long non-coding RNA, 1420 nt
Filed under: Salmo salar (Atlantic salmon)
Lineage: Eukaryota; Metazoa; Chordata; Actinopteri; Salmoniformes; Salmonidae
Description: lncRNA (ENSSSAG00000107411.1)
Source: RNAcentral
AUGAGAACUGGGUGAACAAGUGUAGCGACGUUUCCUCAAUCACAGAGGAAGAAGAGGUCUAAGAAAAUGAGGAAAGCAGAGGCUGGAUUUGAAUUUCAGGAAGAUGCCGAUAAAAAUGGAGAUGAGGUGUCGAAGAAGAUUGGUGUCAACUUCAAACAGAGUGAGCCGCACAACAAACCAAGUUCUGGAGGUGAAAUUGAAGUGAAUGAGGGGGCUCGAUAUGGGAACCGGAACUGGGGAUAAGUAUUUGUAAGACAGUUCCCUGACCCACUGAGCGGACCGAUAGGGGGCUAAAUUCCACUCGGAGCAUACUACCCUAUUCAUUUGAGCUGGAAUACACUGAAGAGGAGUUGAGGCAGCAACAACAAGAAUUGCAAGACCAGCGAUGGGGAGCCCCAGUCAGACUCCGACUGGUGGUGCCGAUGCGGGUGCUGUCCAGCCAUGCCGACCGAAGAGGAAUGUUUGUGCUGCAACUAAUUAGAUCGCCGACAGUUCUUACUGGAGAGGGUCACUGCAGACCCCAUGGAUCAUGUGUCUGUGACAUCAAAGUUUCAAUGCACAUAUGGAUAGAGAUGUGUUGGAGACGUUCUUCAGAACCUCAAGGAUCAAGAUCAACUGGCAGCGACAGCCUAGAACAGCUGGACCAAGAGGGCAAAUGACAAACGAACAAUACAUCUCGGUGGCCUGCAGAUUCUUUUUGGAGUUUGUUCUAUGUGGGAAAAGCUAGGCACAAGACACCGAAUCCCCUUGCCUGCCCCUUACAAAAAGAGACUGCAGUUUUGACACUGCAGUAAAAGUGCAGUAACUGCCGUCGUCAGUGGUAUUUUGGACGCAGUAAAUGCAGAAUAACUGCUGUGUACUGCAGUUGAACUGCAGUUAUACUGCAAAAUUACAGGACAGUAUGUUGGAUACAAAUAAGCUGAUGACUCAAAAGGAGAUGUGAAAGGUCCAUAACAACAAUCUUCCCUUGUAUCAAAGUGACUUCGAACACCUCCCUUCACCUCCCUGACGCACCAUAUGCAAUUUGUAGAACUGUCAUAUUUAUUAUAGGCGUUAGUAGUAUAUUUUUCUUCUACUGUAUAUAUGUCAUGCAUUGCCUUAACUGUUCCUGCAUACUACUGUGUAAACUCACCUCGGUCUCGAGAGCAAAUAAACUUUGUCUUGAAUACAAUCCAUGUCUACUUGCUACAUUGAGACUAAUCUACAAUUUAAUUAAAACAUGUUUACAUGCCAACAAAAUGAAAGUUGAAAUGUUUGGUUUUACCAGUAAGAUUGUAGCUAGUUACUUCUAAAUACAUCCCAUGAAUAUCACAAUAAAUUGAUCCAGAAGUCAACACUAUUGGUUUCUGAUGCAGCUGGAAUCAUUUAGUCACUUGCAGUACACGUCAAAAAGAUUAGAUAAAAUAUCUUAUCAAACUCC